RNAcentral lists this ribosomal RNA (549 nucleotides) under uncultured bacterium. Its description in RNAcentral is "bacterial SSU rRNA". It matches the Rfam family "Bacterial small subunit ribosomal RNA", at positions 356 to 896 of the family's 1533-position model. The record is from RNAcentral.
AGGGAAUCUUCGGCAAUGGACGGAAGUCUGACCGAGCAACGCCGCGUGAGUGAAGAAGGUUUUCGGAUCGUAAAGCUCUGUUGUAAGAGAAGAACGAGUGUGAGAGUGGAAAGUUCACACUGUGACGGUAUCUUACCAGAAAGGGACGGCUAACUACGUGCCAGCAGCCGCGGUAAUACGUAGGUCCCGAGCGUUGUCCGGAUUUAUUGGGCGUAAAGCGAGCGCAGGCGGUUAGAUAAGUCUGAAGUUAAAGGCUGUGGCUUAACCAUAGUACGCUUUGGAAACUGUUUAACUUGAGUGCAAGAGGGGAGAGUGGAAUUCCAUGUGUAGCGGUGAAAUGCGUAGAUAUAUGGAGGAACACCGGUGGCGAAAGCGGCUCUCUGGCUUGUAACUGACGCUGAGGCUCGAAAGCGUGGGGAGCAAACAGGAUUAGAUACCCUGGUAGUCCACGCCGUAAACGAUGAGUGCUAGGUGCUAGACCCUUUCCGGGGUUUAGUGCCGUAGCUAACGCAUUAAGCACUCCGCCUGGGGAGUACGACCGCAAGGUUG